Molecule: ribosomal RNA, 425 nt
Filed under: uncultured bacterium
Lineage: Bacteria
Description: partial 16S ribosomal RNA
Rfam family: Bacterial small subunit ribosomal RNA
Source: RNAcentral
GUGGGGAAUAUUGGACAAUGGGCGCAAGCCUGAUCCAACCAUGCCGCGUGAGUGAUGAAGGCCUUAGGGUUGUAAAGCUCUUUCAGUGGGGACGAUAAUGACGGUACCCACAGAAGAAGCCCCGGCUAACUUCGUGCCAGCAGCCGCGGUAAUACGAAGGGGGCUAGCGUUGUUCGGAUUUACUGGGCGUAAAGCGCACGUAGGCGGAUCGUUAAGUCGGGGGUGAAAUCCUGGAGCUCAACUCCAGAACUGCCUUCGAUACUGGCGAUCUUGAGUCCGGAAGAGGUGAGUGGAACUCCUAGUGUAGAGGUGGAAUUCGUAGAUAUUAGGAAGAACACCAGUGGCGAAGGCGGCUCACUGGUCCGGUACUGACGCUGAGGUGCGAAAGCGUGGGGAGCAAACAGGAUUAGAAACCCUAGUAGUCC